Molecule: transfer RNA, 66 nt
Filed under: Dollfusiella sp. MZUSP 7992
Lineage: Eukaryota; Metazoa; Platyhelminthes; Cestoda; Trypanorhyncha; Eutetrarhynchidae
Description: tRNA-Leu
Source: RNAcentral
GUAAAAAUGCCAGAGGUUUAUGGGUAUGGUUUAGGACCGUUUUACGACUUUUAAAGUCUUUUUACU